GACGAACGCUGGCGGCGUGCUUAACACAUGCAAGUCGAACGCGCCUGUCCUCUGGGUUUCUGGGGGUGGGUGAGUGGCGAACGGGUGAGUAACACGUGAGUAACCUGCCCCCUUCUUCGGGAUAACGGUCUGAAAGGGCUGCUAAUACCGGGUAUUCACUGGUCUCCACAUGGGGUCUGGUGGAAAGGUUUUUUUCUGGUGGGGGAUGGGCUCGCGGCCUAUCAGCUUGUUGGUGGGGUGAUGGCCCACCAAGGCUUUGACGGGUAGCCGGCCUGAGAGGGUGACCGGUCACAUUGGGACUGAGAUACGGCCCAGACUCCUACGGGAGGCAGCAGUGGGGAAUAUUGCACAAUGGGCGCAAACCUGAUGCAGCGACGCCGCGUGAGGGAUGGAGGCCUUCGGGUUGUGAACCUCUUUCGCCCGUGGUCAAGCCGCGACGUGGGUCGUGGUGAGGGUAGUGGGUAAAGAAGCGCCGGCUAACUACGUG
This 487-nucleotide ribosomal RNA is filed under the name uncultured bacterium. RNAcentral's name for it is "partial 16S ribosomal RNA". It matches the Rfam family "Bacterial small subunit ribosomal RNA", at positions 28 to 507 of the family's 1533-position model. The record is from RNAcentral.